GACGAACGCUGGCGGCGUGCUUAACACAUGCAAGUCGAACGGAAAGGCCUGCUUUCCCUUGUGGAUUGCGGGUACUCGAGUGGCGAACGGGUGAGUAACACGUGAGUGAUCUGCCCCCAACUUGGGUAUAAGCCUGGGAAACUGGGUCUAAUUCCCGAUAGGACUGCAGGGUGGUGCCUGUGGUGGAAAACGAUUUUCUAGUGGUUGGGGAUGAGCUCGCGGCCUAUCAGCUUGUUGGUGGGGUAAUGGCCUACCAAGGCGGCGACGGGUAGCCGGCCUGAGAGGGUGGACGGCCACAUUGGGACUGAGAUACGGCAGACUCCUACGGGAGGCAGCAGUGGGGAAUAUUGCACAAUGGGCGGAAGCCUGAUGCAGCGACGCCGCGUGGGGGAUGACGGCCUUCGGGUUGUAAACUCCUUUCGACCGCGAGGAAGCCACCUGGUUGGAAGGGUGGUGACGGUAGUGGUAGAAGAAGCACCGGCUAACUACGUG
RNAcentral lists this ribosomal RNA (492 nucleotides) under uncultured bacterium. Its description in RNAcentral is "partial 16S ribosomal RNA". It matches the Rfam family "Bacterial small subunit ribosomal RNA", at positions 28 to 507 of the family's 1533-position model. The record is from RNAcentral.